Molecule: ribosomal RNA, 331 nt
Filed under: uncultured bacterium
Lineage: Bacteria
Description: bacterial SSU rRNA
Rfam family: Bacterial small subunit ribosomal RNA
Source: RNAcentral
CGCGUAGGCGGCGGACCUUGUCGAGUGUGAAAGCCCCGGGCUCAACCUGGGAGGUGCGCUCGAGACGGGUUUGCUGGAGUUCGGGAGAGGAGAGUGGAAUUCCCAGUGUAGAGGUGAAAUUCGUAGAUAUUGGGAAGAACACCGGUGGCGAAGGCGGCUCUCUGGACCGAGACCGACGCUGAGGCGCGAAAGCGUGGGGAGCAAACAGGAUUAGAUACCCUGGUAGUCCACGCUGUAAACGAUGUGUGCUAGACGUUGGGGAGCGUAGCUCUUCGGUGUCGCCGCAAACGCUUUAAGCACACCGCCUGGGGAGUACGGCCGCAAGGUUAAA